GUGGGGAAUAUUGGACAAUGGGCGAAAGCCUGAUCCAGCCAUGCCGCGUGUGUGAAGAAGGUCUUCGGAUUGUAAAGCACUUUAAGUUGGGAGGAAGGGCAGUAAGUUAAUACCUUGCUGUUUUGACGUUACCGACAGAAUAAGCACCGGCUAACUUCGUGCCAGCAGCCGCGGUAAUACGAAGGGUGCAAGCGUUAAUCGGAAUUACUGGGCGUAAAGCGCGCGUAGGUGGUUCAGUAAGUUGGAAGUGAAAUCCCCGGGCUCAACCUGGGAACUGCCUCCAAAACUGCAUGACUAGAGUACGGUAGAGGGUAGUGGAAUUUCCUGUGUAGCGGUGAAAUGCGUAGAUAUAGGAAGGAACACCAGUGGCGAAGGCGACUACCUGGACUGAUACUGACACUGAGGUGCGAAAGCGUGGGGAGCAAACAGGAUUAGAUACCCCAGUAGUCC
Molecule: ribosomal RNA, 450 nt
Filed under: uncultured bacterium
Lineage: Bacteria
Description: bacterial SSU rRNA
Rfam family: Bacterial small subunit ribosomal RNA
Source: RNAcentral